Molecule: ribosomal RNA, 400 nt
Filed under: uncultured bacterium
Lineage: Bacteria
Description: bacterial SSU rRNA
Rfam family: Bacterial small subunit ribosomal RNA
Source: RNAcentral
UGGGGAAUAUUGGGCAAUGGGCGCAAGCCUGACCCAGCAACGCCGCGUGAAGGACGAAGGCCUUCGGGUUGUAAACUUCUUUGAUCAGGGACGAUAAUGACGGUACCUGAAGAACAAGCCACGGCUAACUACGUGCCAGCAGCCGCGGUAAUACGUAGGUGGCAAGCGUUAUCCGGAUUUACUGGGUGUAAAGGGCGUGUAGGCGGUUCUGCAAGUCGGAAGUGAAAUUCCCGGGCUUAACCCGGGCGCUGCUCCCGAAACUGCAGAACUUGAGUACUGGAGAGGAUAGUGGAAUUCCUAGUGUAGCGGUAAAAUGCGUAGAUAUUAGGAGGAACACCAGUGGCGAAGGCGGCUAUCUGGACAGUAACUGACGCUGAGGCGCGAAAGCGUGGGGAGCAAA